Molecule: long non-coding RNA, 1428 nt
Filed under: Anolis carolinensis (green anole)
Lineage: Eukaryota; Metazoa; Chordata; Lepidosauria; Squamata; Anolidae
Description: lncRNA (ENSACAG00000041278.1)
Source: RNAcentral
AUGGAAUGCAUUUCUUUCUUCUUUUUUUCUUUUCCACAGCACACUGUCUGCCUUCAGCUAUAGACCCCAUUCUUCAUAUCAGCACCUUGAGACCAUGUUUGCUUAGUUUAAAUUGAAUAUGUCACAUUAAAGCUAGAAAUAUAAAAAUCUAAACACUGGCUUCCCACUACUACAUGCUUGGUUUCUUAAAUUCUGCAAUGAAUGUACUUCAAAUAAAUAAAAAUAAAUUCUUCUCAUUUCAAACAAAGUAGAGUCAAAGAGUAUCCUAAUAUCCAAUACAGGAUAAUAUGCCAUCCGAACUGGAAAAAAAUAACAAAGUGAUCAGCUAUAUGUACUAGUUGGAACCAAUCAUGUAGCAAUACAGUAGAGUCUCACUUAUCCAAUACUCACUUAUCCAACGUUCUGGAUUAUCCAACGCAUUUUUGUAGUCAAUGUUUUCAAUGCAUUGUGAUAUUUUGGUGCUAAAUUCAUAAAUACAGUAAUUACUACAUAGCAUUAAUGUGUAAUGAAGUACUUUUUCUGUAAAAUUUGUUGUAUAACAUGAUGUUUUGGUGCUUAAUUUGUAAAAUUAUAACCUAUUUUGAUGUUUAAUAGGCUUUUUCUUAAUCUCUCCUUAUUAUCCAACAUAUUCGCUUAUCCAGCGUUCUGCCGGCCCAUUUAUGUUGGAUAUGUGAGACUCUACUGUAUAAUGUUAACAGGGUGUCAGCAAAAUAUCAAUUUGAACAAACAAAUCCACAGAAAGUGGUGACUUUAUGCAUGCUAUUCUGAUCAUAGCAAGUGUAGUCUAGUGAAUAGUUCUGGAUUUUAGUCUCUCACAUAUGGAUUUGUAGUCCAACACAUGUUCCUCUUUUGCAAGCUUCAGGACAAUGCUAAUACUAUAUUAGUUGUCGUUGUUGUUGCUGUGUGCCAUCAAGCCUUUUCUGACUUAUGACAACCCUCAGGUGACCUUAUUGUGGGUUUAUCUUGGCAAGAUUUGGUCAGAAGAGCUUUGCCACUGCCUUCCUCUGAGGUGGAGAGAGUGUGACCUGCCCACUCAUCUGCAAAAACAGAAUGAGGGUUGUUGCUCAUUAAAUCUAAAGAUACUAAAGACAAAGAAGUAUUGUUACACUGAGAGUUAGGCAUAGGGUUAAUUAUCUAGCUCAGUGGUUCUCAACCUGUGGGUCCCCAGAUGUUUUGGCCUUCAAGUCCCAGAAAUCCUAACAGUUGGUAAACUGGCUGGGAUUUCUGGGAGUUGUAGGCCAAAACACCUGGGGACCCACAGGUUGAGAACCACUGAUCUAGCUGAACUGCAAGGCACUACAUUUCCAAUUACGUAGAGAUUUGCAGUAUUGAUUACUGUCCACACAACUAUCUUUCUCACAAAAAUAGAGAAAUAUAUUCUGAGUAUUUUCUGCAUAGCUUAUUCCAUUUUUCCACUCUAGUUCUUAG